UACGUAGGGUGCAAGCGUUAAUCGGAAUUACUGGGCGUAAAGCGUGCGCAGGCGGUUUUGUAAGUCUGACGUGAAAUCCCCGGGCUCAACCUGGGAAUUGCGUUGGAGACUGCAAGGCUAGAAUCUGGCAGAGGGGGGUAGAAUUCCACGUGUAGCAGUGAAAUGCGUAGAGAUGUGGAGGAACACCGAUGGCGAAGGCAGCCCCCUGGGUCAAGAUUGACGCU
RNAcentral lists this ribosomal RNA (224 nucleotides) under uncultured bacterium. RNAcentral's name for it is "partial 16S ribosomal RNA". It matches the Rfam family "Bacterial small subunit ribosomal RNA", at positions 524 to 747 of the family's 1533-position model. The record is from RNAcentral.